UACGGAGGGUGCGAGCGUUGUCCGGAAUCACUGGGCGUAAAGGGCGCGUAGGUGGCGACGCAAGUCAACGGUGAAAGCUCGACGCUCAACGUCGAGUCGGCCGUCGAUACUGCAUCGCUGGAGCACUGUAGAGGCAGAUGGAAUUCCGGGUGUAGCGGUGGAAUGCGUAGAGAAUCCGGAAGAACACCGGUGGCGAGGCGGUCGCUGGGCAGUGCUGGACACUGAGGCGCGACAGCGUGG
RNAcentral lists this ribosomal RNA (240 nucleotides) under uncultured bacterium. Its description in RNAcentral is "partial 16S ribosomal RNA". It matches the Rfam family "Bacterial small subunit ribosomal RNA", at positions 524 to 764 of the family's 1533-position model. The record is from RNAcentral.